Molecule: RNA transcript, 1587 nt
Organism: Sesamum indicum (sesame)
Lineage: Eukaryota; Viridiplantae; Streptophyta; Magnoliopsida; Lamiales; Pedaliaceae
Source: RefSeq, a predicted model, not a curated record
AGAGAAGAAAACAAGGUGGAGAUUAAUACAGCAGGGCAUGGGUACUCUUCUCCAAUCCAAACCACAGUUUCACAGGCCACCCAUGUAUGACCCGACUUGUGAGUCUGUGGCAAGUCAAAAUUGAGAACAAACACAGCCAGACUACAUUUCAAUUCUCAAGGGUGUUUUGUUUGGAGUUGGAAGCUCAUUCAGUCAUGGGAACCGUCAUCGACUCCCAUUUCUUGGCCCUUACUGCCAUUGUUACGGUGGCCUAUCAAUUGUUCUUCUUUGUAGUCACAGCACUUCUGAAGUUCGACAAAGUCACGGACUUUGCAGGCAGCACAAAUUUUGUUAUACUUGCCGUGUUGACCUUGGUUGUGAAAGGAUCAUGGAACUUCCGACAGGUGGUUUUGUCCAUGCUUGUGGUAAUCUGGGGCCUUCGUUUAGGACUGUUUCUAUUAAUGAGGAUACUGCGGUGGGGGGAGGAUAGACGUUUUGACGAAAUGCGCAAUAAUUUGGGAAGAUUGGCUGUUUUUUGGAUUUUUCAGGCUGUGUGGGUGUGGACUGUGAGUUUACCUGUGACAGUUGUUAAUGCAAGUGACCGAGACCCCUCCCUUCAAGCUGCGGACAUUAUAGGAUGGAUAAUGUGGUCUUUAGGCAUUCUUGUUGAAGCAACUUCUGACCAACAAAAAUUAACAUUUAAAAAUUCUCCAGAAAACAGGGGGAAAUGGUGUGAUGUUGGACUCUGGAAGUAUUCACGCCACCCCAAUUAUUUUGGCGAGAUUUUUCUUUGGUGGGGAAUUUUUGUGGCUGCAACACCGGUACUAGAAGGUGCAGAAUGGCUUGUCAUCUUUGGGCCAUUAUUUCUCACAUUAUUGCUCCUUUUCGUCAGUGGAAUACCACUGCUUGAGGAAUCAGCGGACAAAAAGUAUGGGAAUGUUUCUGCAUACAGGCACUAUAAAAGAACAACGAGUCCUCUCAUCUUGCUUCCCCCUGCACUGUAUGGCAAUUUGCCAUCAUGGCUCAAAUCAACACUGCUAUUUGAGUUUCCUCUCUACAGUCGCAGUCUUCCCCAAGAAAACUGGAAGUCAAGAUAAUAAUGCAAAAUCCUGGCAGACUGUGCCAGGUGAACAGCAGCAGAAAAGGAAAGCUUUACAAUACAAAUCUUCGGCCUCACGUUGCUUAUGUUUCAAUUAAGUGUGCGAGGACAUCAUUAGAAUUUAGUGUAUAUAUCUGUUGGGAAUCAACCCGAAAAGACUCGUCUCAUCAAAUCAGUUGGGCUUGAUGGCUUCUUUAAUUGGAAUAGAAGAAGCCACCAACAGAGCAAUGGACAGAAGAUUAGUUAGACUGUUCACAGGCUUCUUGCUGACUGUGAAUGUGCAUGCCUUGAAAACUGAUGCUCUUCAUCUGGGGAGUUAGUGAUUUCUGCUCAUUUAUGUUUCUCCUUUCCAAUAGUUGUUAUGUUCUACACUGCUGUAUUUUAGUCUUGUUAGCAUUACAUUAGAUUUUGAGGCUAAUUAGAUACGGAUGAUGGGAUGUUUGUAAAGACUUUUGCUUUUGAAACAGUGAUUAAAUGCGGAAAAAGUUGAAAAAAGUUAAGGAUUGAAA